CUACGUGCCAGCAGCCGCGGUAAUACGGAAGGUCCAGGCGUUAUCCGGAUUUAUUGGGUUUAAAGGGAGUGUAGGCGGUCUGUUAAGCGUGUUGUGAAAUUUAGGUGCUCAACAUUUAACUUGCAGCGCGAACUGGCGGACUUGAGUGCACGCAACGUAUGCGGAAUUCAUGGUGUAGCGGUGAAAUGCUUAGAUAUCAUGACGAACUCCGAUUGCGAAGGCAGCGUACGGGAGUGUUACUGACGCUUAAGCUCGAAGGUGCGGGUAUCGAACAGGAUUAGAUACCCUGGUAGUCCGCACGGUAAACGAUGGAUGCCCGCUGUUAGCGCCUGGCGUUAGCGGCUAAGCGAAAGCAUUAAGCAUCCCACCUGGGGAGUACGCCGGCAACGGUGAAACUCAAAGGAAUUGACGGGGGCCCGCACAAGCGGUGGAGCAUGUGGUUUAAUUCGACGCAACGCGAAGAACCUUACCCGGUCUUGAGAUCC
Molecule: ribosomal RNA, 485 nt
Filed under: uncultured bacterium
Lineage: Bacteria
Description: bacterial SSU rRNA
Rfam family: Bacterial small subunit ribosomal RNA
Source: RNAcentral